RNAcentral lists this ribosomal RNA (497 nucleotides) under uncultured bacterium. Its description in RNAcentral is "partial 16S ribosomal RNA". It matches the Rfam family "Bacterial small subunit ribosomal RNA", at positions 28 to 507 of the family's 1533-position model. The record is from RNAcentral.
GAUGAACGCUGGCGGCGUGCCUAAUACAUGCAAGUCGAGCGAACAGACGAGGAGCUUGCUCCUCUGACGUUAGCGGCGGACGGGUGAGUAACACGUGGAUAACCUACCUAUAAGACUGGGAUAACUUCGGGAAACCGGAGCUAAUACCGGAUAAUAUAUUUAACCGCAUGGUUCAAUAUUGAAAGACGGUUUUGCUUUCACUUAUAGAUGGAUCCGCGCCGCAUUAGCUAGUUGGUAAGGUAACGGCUUACCAAGGCGACGAUGCGUAGCCGACCUGAGAGGGUGAUCGGCCACACGGGAACUGAGACACGGUCCAGACUCCUACGGGAGGCAGCAGUAGGGAAUCUUCCGCAAUGGGCGAAAGCCUGACGGAGCAACGCCGCGUGAGUGAUGAAGGUCUUCGGAUCGUAAAACUCUGUUAUUAGGGAAGAACAAAUGUGUAAGUAACUAUGCACGUCUUGACGGUACCUAAUCAGAAAGCCACGGCUAACUACGUG